Molecule: ribosomal RNA, 250 nt
Filed under: uncultured bacterium
Lineage: Bacteria
Description: partial 16S ribosomal RNA
Rfam family: Bacterial small subunit ribosomal RNA
Source: RNAcentral
UACGAAGGGGCUAGCGUUGCUCGGAAUCACUGGGCGUAAAGCGCACGUAGGCGGAUUGCUAAGUCAGGGGUGAAAUCCUGGAGCUCAACUCCAGAACUGCCUUUGAUACUGGCGAUCUUGAGUCCGGGAGAGGUGAGUGGAACUGCGAGUGUAGAGGUGAAAUUCGUAGAUUAUUCGCAAGAACACCAGUGGCGAAGGCGGCUCACUGGCCCGGUACUGACGCUGAGUGCGAAAGCGUGGGAGCAACAGG